UACAGGGGGGGCAAGCGUUGUUCGGAAUUACUGGGCGUAAAGGGCCAGUAGGCGGCCAACUAAGUCCGACGUGAAAUCCCCAAGCUUAACUUGGGAACUGCGUCGGAUACUGGAUGGCUUGAAUUCGGGAGAGGGAUGCAGAAUUCCAGGUGUAGCGGUGAAAUGCGUAGAUAUCUGGAGGAACACCGGUGGCGAAGGCGGCAUCCUGGACCAAUAUUGACGCUGAGGAGCGAAAGCCAGGGGAGCAAACGGG
Molecule: ribosomal RNA, 253 nt
Filed under: uncultured bacterium
Lineage: Bacteria
Description: partial 16S ribosomal RNA
Rfam family: Bacterial small subunit ribosomal RNA
Source: RNAcentral